GGAAGGGGAAAGGGCGGCCCUUCACUUUGUGGCGCGCAGGCGGCGUGACUUUUGUGGGGCCGCUGAGCCUGAAAUGGCGGUCGGAAGAUUUAGCCCCGAAGAGAAUCUACUUUGGGAUGCAAGGAGGUGCCUGGAGGGAGCGGCGAGUUGCAGCCUUGGAGCUUGUGACGUGAGUCUGGAAGCGCGCGCGCGCUUUCUGCGUAAGCUACAAGCGCAUGGAGGUAGUGGAAGACACGCGUCAAAGUCUACCUACAGUUUUGGAUGACAAGCAUCACACUUAAAAGUUAAAGUUGUCAACCAGUCGUAUCAUUACUUGUAAACCCAUUUAGCCCGGUUGAUGUCACAGAAGCUGCGGUGGCCAUUGGGAAACUGUCAGGCUGAAGUUGAAGAAACAGCUGGAGAUUGUGGACUUUCAAAAUGAUUUAGUUUUAAAAGGAUCUAGUUGAUUCACAAGUUUCCUUUGUUGAGAAAUAUGGCUGCAAAGAUAAAACCUUACAUUGGAUCAACUAUGUGAGUCACUUCUCAGCAAUAAAAUGUAUUGAAUCAAAAAAACAAAACCGUGACUGAUUCGUGUCAAGCAUUGCAGUAGUCUGGAGCAGUGUUUUUCAGCCACUGCUAUGGAACGUAUGUAUGGACAAGGCACAGUUCACUCAACACACUAGCAGAACCUUAUGCAGUUAAAUGGAAGAAACAGUUACACCAAAGACCAUGAUUGUCAUCAGUUGGAAGAUGAAUCAGGUGACCUAUGUCCUGCUCCAUUACAAUCAUUCUGAUGCUCCAUGUUCAACAACGGUUCAUGGCUGGACUUGAUGACAGAUGCCUUCCAAUCUGUUAUAUAAAGUUAUUUCUUCCAGAUGGCAUGCUACAAGCUCUGAUUUUGCAUCAGACAGUACCUCUGGUUCUGCUAGUGAGCUAGAAUCUGUUUAUGACUGAUGAUUAGUGAAUAUAGCUUAGAAUUCUGAGGUUUAUUUUUCUCUAUUUGUGUCUCACAAGUCACUUUUUCAUGUACAUUUAUAAGGGCAUUCAUUACAUGUAUCUGUAUUGAUGUUGAUUUCCUUAAAAAAUAAAAAGUGAUUUCAAAACAGAA
Long non-coding RNA from Elgaria multicarinata webbii, 1087 nucleotides. RefSeq lists it as uncharacterized. The transcript has 5 exons. NCBI's taxonomy places the organism in Eukaryota, Metazoa, Chordata, Lepidosauria, Squamata, Anguidae. The record is from RefSeq and is a predicted model, not a curated record.